RNAcentral lists this unclassified non-coding RNA (340 nucleotides) under soil metagenome. RNAcentral's name for it is "partial contains 5.8S ribosomal RNA, internal transcribed spacer 2, and large subunit ribosomal RNA". The stretch from base 1 to 120 matches the Rfam family "5.8S ribosomal RNA", at positions 35 to 154 of the family's 154-position model. The record is from RNAcentral.
GAUGAAGAACGUAGCGAAAUGCGAUAAGUAAUGUGAAUUGCAGAAUUCAGUGAAUCAUCGAAUCUUUGAACGCACAUUGCGCCCGCCAGUAUUCUGGCGGGCAUGCCUGUUCGAGCGUCAUUUCAACCAUCAAGCCCCAGGCUUGUGUUGGGGACCUGCGGCUGCCGCAGGCCCUGAAAACCAGUGGCGGGCUCGCUGUCACACCGGGCGUAGUAGAUUUUAUCUCGCUCAGGGCGUGCUGCGGGUUCCGGCCGUUAAAUGAAAAGCCUUCGUAGCCCAAGGUUGACCUCGGAUCAGGUAGGAAGACCCGCUGAACUUAAGCAUAUCAAUAAGCGGAGGA